This 59-nucleotide microRNA precursor is filed under the name Monopterus albus (swamp eel). RNAcentral describes it as "Mal-Mir-34-P3d_pre stem-loop". Lineage: Eukaryota; Metazoa; Chordata; Actinopteri; Synbranchiformes; Synbranchidae. The record is from RNAcentral.
AGGCAGUGUCUUGUUAGCUGGCCGUUGCUGUGUGUGCCAGCCUACCUGCUGCUGCCCUC